Molecule: ribosomal RNA, 253 nt
Filed under: uncultured bacterium
Lineage: Bacteria
Description: partial 16S ribosomal RNA
Rfam family: Bacterial small subunit ribosomal RNA
Source: RNAcentral
UACGUAUGGUGCGAACGUUGUUCGGAAUCACUGGGCAUAAAGAGCACGUAGGCGGUUGAACAAGUCUGAUGUGAAAUCCCCCAGCUUAACUGGGGAACUGCAUCAGAAACUGUUUGACUAGAGUGCAGGAGGGGAGAGUGGAAUUCCAGGUGGAGCGGUGAAAUGCGUAGAUAUCUGGAGGAACGCCGGCGGCGAAAGCGACUCUCUGGUCUGCAACUGACGCUGAGGUGCGAAAGCUAGGGGAGCAAACGGG